AGAAGCAAAGGGAAGCAGCCAGAAAGGGCUCUGGGUGGGCUGUCCAGGCACCUGGGAGGACAUGCACCGAGGGGACCCUGCCGUUUCCUGUAUGACAGAUGGCUGGUGAUCGGCGCAGAGCAGCUGGUUAGGGAAGGGAGCAGGUGGUUUGAAAAGCUGCCUGUUAUUUAAGCUUGAGAUCCUCUUGCAAGGAGUCCCGAUCCCCUGGUUAGGAAGGAAGAAAAGAAAGCCUAACGGAUAUAUCUGACAGUGAACACGAACGCCCUGGGAACAGAGAGCCCAUGAGGUCACAGAAAGGGGAAGGGUGUGACCAACGGGCAGCCGAGGGGCCCUAGCUGGCGGCGUGCGUGACCGCCGGCAACCAGAGGCGGGGCCGAGGCAACAGCCGGGGCGCUGUCCGCAGUGGGGAUGGCGACGCGGACCACGGCUGCCCCUCUGCCCACCUCAGUGGGCCUGUGCAUCUGGGCUGCCUCGCCUGCAGGUUUCCGCUCAGUUCAGGGGAGGCGGGUGCGGGAGGGAGCAGAGCCCGUCAGACCCCACAGGGACACGUUACAGGCACGUUGCCACUGAUGCCCUCAAAAUACGCCUUCCUUCAAGCACACUCAUCCCAUCACCUUGCCCCUGUCUGGAGCAGCUCUGGAGCCCUCCUUUGCAAGUCUCUGCGGCUGCCUCCUGUUUUGAAUCAAUGGAAAACACAGCAGUUUCUGUCGAGUAUAAAUGUUGCAGUGAGUCCUCGUCACCUUGUUCACCGGAUCUGGCACCACGUGACUCUCAGUCCUCCCCAGAGCCAAAAUGAUCACGAAAGGGAAACGUUUUAAAUCGACUCAGGCCAUCCAGGCAGCCAGGACAGCACAACUACGGGCAAUUACAGACGAGGCCUCCAGAGCUGCUGCAGACAGUGCCAAGUGAGACGCCUGCUGCUACCACACACGCCUGCACCAUCAACAUACAAAGAGAAACGGCUUACUGCACCUCAGUCUCAAAGGCUGUGUUCAGGACUGGGUGGCCCUGCAGCCAUGGGGCCCGGGACAAGGCACCAGGACAUCAAAACUGCUCACCUCACAGUGGCCAGGAAGCAACGGAGAGGAGACGGCCAGCGUCUCACGGUCCCUUUCAGGAGCGCCCCUUGAUCAACACAAGCUCUCCAGGCACCACCUCAAAGGUUUUAGCACUUGCAGCAGUGCCACACUGAGUCCAUCCUCUAAUCUCGGGUCUCAGGGGACAUUCCAGAUCCAAACUGUCCAUCUGCCACCUGCUCCUGCAGGGACCCUUGCCAGCCAGGCCUGGCCUCACCGAGAGCUCUGCUCCUGGCCCCUGAGGGCUCCAUGGCCUCAGCAGGGACCAGGCUGCUCCUGCCCCCGAGGCUCAGCUGCCUGUCCUCACUUGCAAGCUCAGGACAGUGUGCUGAAGGCCCCGGUGUCACUCCUGAGCUGGGCCCCCACUCACUGGGCAUCUACUGAAGAAAACUCAGCCCCUCCCACAUCAACCUCCUGAGGAAGGCGACUUCCACGCAGAUGCCGCCAACGGCAGUGCUUGCCUGCGGUGUCUCUGUGUGGAGGCCUUGGCUACCUCUUCCAACAGCUCUGAGGGCAGGCGGCACGGAUUCCAUGCUUGCUGAGGGUGACAUGCUAGGACUGGAAUGCGCCCACCUGCCUCCUGACCCUGACCUCUGCUGCUCUACUCUGUCCAGAUGAUUCAGAGGAGCGAAAUGUCCGGCACCUCCAGGGAAAUUUGCCUUUUUUUUCUUUUUAUAAAAUUCAGGAAAUGACUAUUGAUUCACAAACUGUCUCUCUAAUGGCUGUUUCUAGACACCUUGGUGGGGAGGGACGUGCUUUUUUGGAGCAAGUCUGUCUGGUACCUCUUGGCCAACCUCGGGGGCCUAGGUGGGCCCCCCACCGCCCCAGCCUUCCACGUCUGUCCUGAUGCACGAGAGCAGAGGGCAGAGGGAUGGCGCCACACAGUGCCCCGAGGCGGGAGGGUCAUUCUGGUCCUUUCCCCAGGGCAGGACGCCAGCGUCUGAGUGGGCAGUGCGGGUGUGUAGGGUGAGACUCAGGGCAGCACCCUGCUUCUUCCAAACAGAAAAGGGAGGAGAAUAAAGGCCUUGCCCGCCGCAGAGUGCUGUCCAGCUUCAGGAGAUCGGUUCUAAGCAGAAACUUUUGUUCAGCUUGAUUCUCCUGGUUUCCAUGGGGAUUUUUGGGUGGUAACAAAGCCCCAUGUGUCUGGAGUGAAGAAAACCACAAGCAUGAUUUGCACACAUGCAAUGUAGAUGUCUACUCAGCUGGAACCGGAAAUAAACACAAUGUGAGUAUGAAAAGCAAAAAGCAGGGGGCACUGAGAAGAUACUGAACUGGAAGCAGUGACACGCCUUGGCGUGAGCCAGCUUGUCCAGAGGCGAG
Molecule: non-coding RNA, 2396 nt
Organism: Heterocephalus glaber (naked mole-rat)
Lineage: Eukaryota; Metazoa; Chordata; Mammalia; Rodentia; Bathyergidae
Source: RefSeq, a predicted model, not a curated record